UACAGAGGGUGCGAGCGUUAAUCGGAGUUACUGGGCGUAAAGGGUGCGUAGGUGGUUGAAUAAGUCAGUUGUGAAAGGCCUGGGCUUAACCUGGGACGUGCAAUUGAAACUGUUGAACUGGAGUUGAGUAGAGGGGAGCGGAAUUUCCGGUGUAGCGGUGAAAUGCGUAGAUAUCGGAAGGAACAUCAGUGGCGAAGGCGGCUCUCUGGACUCAAACUGACACUGAAGCACGAAAGCGUGGGUAGCGAACAGG
This 253-nucleotide ribosomal RNA is filed under the name uncultured bacterium. RNAcentral describes it as "partial 16S ribosomal RNA". It matches the Rfam family "Bacterial small subunit ribosomal RNA", at positions 524 to 776 of the family's 1533-position model. The record is from RNAcentral.